CCUACGGGAGGCAGCAGUGGGGAAUAUUGCACAAUGGGGGAAACCCUGAUGCAGCGACGCCGCGUGAAGGAUGAAGGAUUUCGGUAUGUAAACUUCUUUCAGCAGGGAAGAAAAUGACGGUACCUGACUAAGAAUACGCGUCGAACGACGAGCCGCCAGCCGCGGUCAUACGUAGGGGGCAAGCGUUAUCCGGAGUGACGGGGUGUAAAGGGGGCGUAGGCGGUUUAUCAAGUCAGAAGUGAAAGCCCGGGGCUCAACUUCGGGACUGCUGUUGAAACUGUUGAACUAGAGUGCAGGAGAGGUAAGUGGAAUUCGUAGUGUAGCGGUGAAAUGCGUAGAUAUUAGGAGGAACACCAGUGGCGAAGGCGGCUUACUGGACUGUAAAUGACGCUGAGGCACGAAAGCGUGGGGAGCAAACAGGAUUAGAUACCCGUGUAGUC
Molecule: ribosomal RNA, 440 nt
Filed under: uncultured bacterium
Lineage: Bacteria
Description: partial 16S ribosomal RNA
Rfam family: Bacterial small subunit ribosomal RNA
Source: RNAcentral